GCCUCAUCGCAGGCCCUUCGCCAGCUCCUUCUUUAGUGUCCGUUACUUGGAUCACGUCCCGCCCCCCCGGUUUGCUUUCCCAGGCAAACAUGCCUCCAUCGGCUGAGCUCACCGGGGCCCGGGCACGGCACCGCCACUUCGCCCUCGCCCCCAGCGGGGCUGCAGCUGCCGACUGCUGGCCCCGCCCCCUCCUCACACCGCCUAUCACCGGAGGCCCCGCCCCGCGCUUCCUCGCCGUUGCCAUAGUAACCAGCACAACCGCCGCCGCGGCUCCCGCGGGCGUCCCUGACAAACGACGCGCGCGUCCCCUGCCGCGCCACCAUCGCCCGGCGAGGUGCUGCCGCCCGCCCGCUGCCAGCGGCCUGCAGCCCCUGCUCAAGACGCACCGCCGAGCCCCUCAGCGCUCCCAGCCUGCUCGCCCCGCCCCCUGCCCGGAAAGGAAAGCGAACGCUUUCUGUCCUAUCCUGUCCUGUCAGGAAAGGAAAGCAAACGCUAACUGCUGCGUAGAAGACAACACCUCAGAGGCCUGCUGCCCGGGACGGGCGACGGUUGUCCGUUCUCGGCGAUUCUCUCCAGACAAUCGACGUUGUCGUCCUUUGCAGCCACUGCCAGAACUGCUGCUUCUUACUACCUCCCUGCUAGGACCUAGCGCGGCUUGCAUUUCACUGGCUAGUUCGAGCCCCGCCUUGCAGAACGGUUCUGUUCCAUUGGCCGCGGGGGACGGGCUGACCAUGUGUUCUCGCGGAGCAGCUUGGGACGUGUGGUUCGCUCACAGGGAGGGAGGCUCAGACUCCCAGCUGCCUCCGCGGGGGCGGGACGCCCGGAAGUGCGGGGCUUGUGCUGCGCUCAGAUGCUUCAGGAAGGCAGGGUACAGUCAUACCCAGAAUCUUGUCUGUGUCCAUCCCAAAUCUACAGCUGGUCCUGUGGAUCAUGGUAGAAUCAUAGAAUCACAGAAAUCACUCAAAGCAGGACCAUCCCCAGGUAGAUCUAAGUACCAAAGCUUUGCAAAGCAGGCAUGAAAACCUUCCAAGGAUGGAGAUUCCACCACCUCGCCAGGUAACCUGUUCCAGUGCUUUACUACCCUCAGUGAGAGGUUUUUCCUGAUAUCUGACAUAAACUUCCCUUGCUGCAACUUGAGACCGUUCCUGCUCGUUCUGUCAUCUGCCACCACUGAGAACAGUCUAGCUCCAUCCUCUUUCCAACCUUCCAUCAGGUAGUUGAAGGCUGCUAUCAGAUCCCCCAUCAGCCUUCUCAUAAGCUUCCUUUUGUUUUUAAGCUCGCCAAAGAGUUCUCUGCUAAGCCAAGCUGGUUG
This 1312-nucleotide long non-coding RNA is filed under the name Crocodylus porosus (Australian saltwater crocodile). RNAcentral describes it as "lncRNA (ENSCPRG00005002309.1)". Lineage: Eukaryota; Metazoa; Chordata; Crocodylia; Crocodylidae. The record is from RNAcentral.